This 752-nucleotide ribosomal RNA is filed under the name uncultured bacterium. Its description in RNAcentral is "bacterial SSU rRNA". It matches the Rfam family "Bacterial small subunit ribosomal RNA", at positions 53 to 778 of the family's 1533-position model. The record is from RNAcentral.
GCGAGCUUGCCUAGAUGAUUUUAGUGCUUGCACUAAAUGAAACUAGAUACAAGCGAGCGGCGGACGGGUGAGUAACACGUGGGUAACCUGCCCAAGAGACUGGGAUAACACCUGGAAACAGAUGCUAAUACCGGAUAACAACACUAGACGCAUGUCUAGAGUUUGAAAGAUGGUUCUGCUAUCACUCUUGGAUGGACCUGCGGUGCAUUAGCUAGUUGGUAAGGUAACGGCUUACCAAGGCAAUGAUGCAUAGCCGAGUCGAGAGACUGAUCGGCCACAUUGGGACUGAGACACGGCCCAAACUCCUACGGGAGGCAGCAGUAGGGAAUCUUCCACAAUGGACGAAAGUCUGAUGGAGCAACGCCGCGUGAGUGAAGAAGGGUUUCGGCUCGUAAAGCUCUGUUGGUAGUGAAGAAAGAUAGAGGUAGUAACUGGCCUUUAUUUGACGGUAAUUACUUAGAAAGUCACGGCUAACUACGUGCCAGCAGCCGCGGUAAUACGUAGGUGGCAAGCGUUGUCCGGAUUUAUUGGGCGUAAAGCGAGUGCAGGCGGUUCAAUAAGUCUGAUGUGAAAGCCUUCGGCUCAACCGGAGAAUUGCAUCAGAAACUGUUGAACUUGAGUGCAGAAGAGGAGAGUGGAACUCCAUGUGUAGCGGUGGAAUGCGUAGAUAUAUGGAAGAACACCAGUGGCGAAGGCGGCUCUCUGGUCUGCAACUGACGCUGAGGCUCGAAAGCAUGGGUAGCGAACAGGAU